UAUAGUGUGCAUCUAUAGCAUACAAUAAAUCUGCUGAACUUGUUAUGCUGUUUUGAUAAAUCAUCACCAGAAUCUCCACAUGUAUGUGCUGUGAGAACUGCCCAUGUGAUUGAUCGCCUCGCUUGGGAGCCAUAGGAUAGAUCAGAUAUGCAGC
This is a long non-coding RNA of Sander lucioperca (pikeperch), 154 nucleotides long. RefSeq lists it as uncharacterized. NCBI's taxonomy places the organism in Eukaryota, Metazoa, Chordata, Actinopteri, Perciformes, Percidae. The record is from RefSeq and is a predicted model, not a curated record. The transcript has 2 exons.